GCUACACCCCUCUCUCUCUCACUUGCUUGCCAUUUGGUUCAACCUGGUCACCCAGGUGACUGGGCUAGGUAAAUUCCUGAGGGGAGGGGGAGCUCGCUCUCUUCCUCCAGCAGCAUUUUGGAACACACAAGCAACAGCCUCCAGAGACUUUCUGGAUGAAUCAGAGGACACUAACAUUGCUGCAUCUUUCUUCCCAAUGGAUUUGGAGGAUCUUCUGCAGGCAUCAUUGAUGGUGCUUCUCCGACAACCUUAGAUGCUUCCUGUACAUUGUCCAUGGCUCAGCUCCACACAGCAAGGCACCCAAAGGCUGCACUUGCACAUUUGAGGCAAUGUUGGAUUUCUUCAUUGAUGUCACCCUUCUGUGAGAGAGAGCUUCUGAGGUACGGAAAAUACUCAACAUUCUCCAGAGUCUCAGCAUGGAUCUGAAUUACUUAAGCUGGGAUUGUUCAUUAGGAGCCUGCUGGUUGAGGAUCUUAGUCUUCUGAAUAACAACAAGGAAAUUUUUUUACCUCCCUACCUGCCAUCUGACACCUCCAGGGAAGAAAUUCUACGUGAUCAACACAUCAAAGAGCUACUCAACACAGCUCACAAAGACACUCUCAAGGACCCAGAGGGAUAGCCCUCCAUCUUCAGCUCCCUCUGUGCAAAAAUGAAGUUUAUUUCCUAUGGGAACUUUUUACCAUCUUGUACUAUCUACACUUUUCCCAGAGCCAGAUGAAGGGACUUUGAUCCUGAAAGCUUGCAGAAAAGGACAGUUUUCUUGCCAUUUUCCUUUUGGUCUAAUAAAAGGUAUCGUUUUGGAACCAAGAGCUCUAGCAUCACUAAAUCCAAGGCUAAAAUCAGAGGAAUCAAAGUGAUUGUUUGAGUGUUAAAACUAAAGUCAAGAAGGACAGUAAGAAGUCAAAUGGGUACUGACCCAGGAGAUAAUAUUAAAGCUGAAAAAUGCGAAGUGGGCAGAAGAUCAUCUACCAAUUUAUGCCAACACUCGGGAAAUAGGAACAUUAAUUAAGAUUAUUUUAUUACUUUAUUAAUAAUGAGGCCAUAUUGACUUGUAACAAGUCAGAACAUGCACACUAUUUCUUUGUAUUGUUAAUAGUACUACUUUCUGUUUUACUGCUUCGAAGUUUCAAUAUAUAUUAUAUGUCAAAUAGUAUAAGACAAAUUUAUAUUCAUUAUAUCACCAGGUCAUACUAGAAGUAGCUCAAAACAAUGUAAUCCAUAGAUUUGCUCCAGUCACUCUAUUUCUUCCCUCUAUGAUUAUUUAUUUCAGUGGCUCUCCUUUUCUAGUACUGUUCUUCUGACUGUUCUCAAAAAUCUGAUCAAUUUGGGUUCAAAAGUCUUAUCCUCUGUAGCUUCUGCCCUCUGAAACAGUCCUGUAUUUCUAAGCUUCAAUACUUUUUCAGAUCUCUUCUAAAAUCAUGAUGAUAAACCAGAUUUUCAUCUGGUGUAAGUCAACAUUGCUGCAUCGAUUUAGUGAGGCAAUGCUACUUUACAUGAACUUAGAGCCUUGCCUGCAUUAUCUCCAUUACCUAUGUCUCUGUUUUUUUCCUUCCUCAGCCAUUUUAACUGUCUCUCUAUGUAAGCUAGAAAGCAUUUGAGGACAUUUUUCAAGUGAAAUUUAUUAUUUGAAAUAGGUUGUAUGAUAAAUAAUAAAGAAAGAAACAGUGUAGUUUCCUUCUAUACAUCACUCCAAGUAAAAGAAAAAUGUUAGUACAUUAUGUUCAGAAGUCUACUCUCAUAAUGUAAUAGCAGCUGUCCUGUGUUGGCAGCUGGUGAUCUAGCUUUCUGAGCAGUGGAAAGACUCGAGGUACAGUAGGAACUGAAAUGAGAUAAAAGUAUGCGGGCUUUAGUGCACAUUUUAAGGCAUCCUUUCUGGACAAUCCAUAAAGCAGCAUUGAUGUAUCCUAGAUGAAGAUGACAACUUACCUUUCCUGUUUUUAAGCUAGUAGAAAAAGUAUCUCAGAAUAAGAAAGCAUAGUAACCUUGCAAUAUGAUGGGUUCUACAAAUACAGCAAUUUGGAAGUAGAAAAAGUUUGACACUAAGUUUCUGAGCUCGCUGAGUAUGUGUCCCAAAUAUUAUGGGAAAAAUGUCCUGAGUCCACAAUUUUGAGCUCCUUCCUGAAAUAAAAAACAAAUCUACCCUUGCUCUCUCAUGCUUCAGCCUUUGCAUUUCAUUGCAGAUACUGAAAUCUCCAUUCUUUUUUGACACUCAAAGAUGUUCCAAUCAAUAUUACUGGAAAUGUCAUUUGACUUUUCACUCAGACGAAAGGUGAUGCUGACAUUCUACUUUUCCUGUGUUUCCCUGGAGAACAUUUAAUCUCUAUGACCUUGAAGAUAUUUAAGAAACCAUUCACAAGAUAACAUUGCCUUGUGAUAGCCAGCAGGGACUUUCUCACAGACAGCAUUUUGCCUAUGGGAACCACAGAAAACAUCUGGAUUCAGAUAGAAAAAUUUAAAAAGUGAGAGCACAUUAUUGCUGUUCAUCAGUAGCACUCAAUGAUACAUCAUUAUUUCAGCCUGUUGGUAACAAUGCUGUGGGGUUUUUUAAGCAAAAUGACUGU
Alligator mississippiensis (American alligator) is the source of this 2561-nucleotide long non-coding RNA. RefSeq lists it as uncharacterized. The record is from RefSeq and is a predicted model, not a curated record. The transcript has 5 exons. Lineage: Eukaryota; Metazoa; Chordata; Crocodylia; Alligatoridae.